This 253-nucleotide ribosomal RNA is filed under the name uncultured bacterium. RNAcentral's name for it is "partial 16S ribosomal RNA". It matches the Rfam family "Bacterial small subunit ribosomal RNA", at positions 524 to 776 of the family's 1533-position model. The record is from RNAcentral.
UACAGAGGUCCCAAGCGUUGUUCGGAUUCACUGGGCGUAAAGGGUGCGUAGGUGGCGGGGUAAGUUUGAUGUGAAAUCUCCGAGCUUAACUCGGAAACUGCAUUGAAUACUAUCCUGCUCGAGGUUUGGAAGGGGGACUGGAAUUCUCGGUGUAGCAGUGAAAUGCGUAGAUAUCGAGAGGAACACCAGUGGCGAAGGCGAGUCCCUGGACAACACCUGACACUGAGGCACGAAAGCUAGGGGAGCAAACAGG